This 253-nucleotide ribosomal RNA is filed under the name uncultured bacterium. Its description in RNAcentral is "partial 16S ribosomal RNA". It matches the Rfam family "Bacterial small subunit ribosomal RNA", at positions 524 to 776 of the family's 1533-position model. The record is from RNAcentral.
UACAGAGGGCCCAAGCGUUGUUCGGAUUCACUGGGCGUAAAGGGUGCGUAGGCGGUCGGGUAAGUCUGAUGUGAAAUCUCACAGCUUAACUGUGAAACUGCAUUGGAUACUAUCCGGCUAGAGGAAUGGAGGGGAGACUGGAAUACUUGGUGUAGCAGUGAAAUGCGUAGAUAUCAAGUGGAACACCAGUGGCGAAGGCGAGUCUCUGGACAUUUCCUGACGCUGAGGCACGAAAGCCAGGGGAGCAAACAGG